AACGAACGCUGGCGGCAUGCCUAACACAUGCAAGUCGAACGAGACCUUCGGGUCUAGUGGCGCACGGGUGCGUAACGCGUGGGAACCUGCCCUUAGGUUCGGAAUAACUCCCCGAAAGGGGUGCUAAUACCGGAUAAUGUCUUCGGACCAAAGAUUUAUCGCCUUUGGAUGGGCCCGCGUUGGAUUAGCUAGUUGGUAGGGUAAAAGCCUACCAAGGCGACGUUCCAUAGCUGGUCGGAGAGGAUGACCAGCCACACUGGGACUGAGACACGGCCCAGACUCCUACGGGAGGCAGCAGUGGGGAAGAUUGGACAAUGGACGAAAGCCGGAUCCAGCAAGGCCGCGUGAGGGAGGAAGGCCUUAGGGAUGUAAAGCUCUUUUACCCGGGAUGAUAAUGACAGUACCGGGAGAAUAAGCUCCGGCUAACGUCGUGC
RNAcentral lists this ribosomal RNA (434 nucleotides) under uncultured bacterium. RNAcentral describes it as "partial 16S ribosomal RNA". It matches the Rfam family "Bacterial small subunit ribosomal RNA", at positions 29 to 508 of the family's 1533-position model. The record is from RNAcentral.